RNAcentral lists this ribosomal RNA (459 nucleotides) under uncultured bacterium. RNAcentral's name for it is "partial 16S ribosomal RNA". It matches the Rfam family "Bacterial small subunit ribosomal RNA", at positions 338 to 795 of the family's 1533-position model. The record is from RNAcentral.
CCUACGGGAGGCAGCAGUGAGGAAUAUUGGUCAAUGGGCGGAAGCCUGAACCAGCCAAGUAGCGUGCGGGAUGAAGGCCCUACGGGUUGUAAACCGCUUUUGCACGGGGAUAACACCCUCCUCUUGUGGAGGUCUGCAGGUACCGUGCGAAUAAGGGCCGGCUAAUUCCGUGCCAGCAGCCGCGGUACUACGGAAGGCCCGAGCGUUAUCCGGAUUCAUUGGGCUUAAAGGGAGCGUAGGCGGGCGUUCAAGUCAGCGGUAAAAUCGCGCGGCUCAACCGCGCCCCGCAGUUGAAACUGGACGCCUUGAGUUCACAACAGGCAGGCGGAAUGCGUGGUGUAGCGGUGAAAUGCAUAGAUAUCCCGAGGAACCCCGAUUGCGAAGGCAGCCUGCCGGGGUGCGACUGACGCUGAGGCUCGAAGGUGCGGGUAUCAAACAGGAUUAGAUACCCGUGUAGUC